AUACGGAGGGUGCAAGCGUUAUUCGGAAUCACUGAGCGUAAAGGGUGCGUAGGCGGUUUGAUAAGUCUGAUGUGAAAUCCUAUGGCUCAACCAUAGAACUGCAUUGGAAACUGUCAGACUAGAAUACUGAAGGGGCAGAUGGAAUUAGUGGUGUAGGGGUAAAAUCCGUAGAUAUCACUAGGAAUACCGAAAGCGAAAGCGAUCUGCUGGGAAGUUAUUGACGCUGAGGCACGAAAGCGUGGGGAGCAAACGGGAUUAGAUACCCUAGUAGUCC
Molecule: ribosomal RNA, 274 nt
Filed under: uncultured bacterium
Lineage: Bacteria
Description: partial 16S ribosomal RNA
Rfam family: Bacterial small subunit ribosomal RNA
Source: RNAcentral